UGCAAGUCGAGCGGAUGAGUGGAGUUUGCUCUGUGAUUCGAGUGGCGGACGGGUGAGUAAUGCCUAGGAACCUGCCUGGGUCUGGGGGACUACGUUUCCAAAGGAACCCUUAUACCGCAUUCCUCCUUGGGGGGAAAGCAGGGGACCUUUNGGCCUUGCCCUAUCAGAUGAGCCUAGGAUGGAUUAGCUAGUUGGUGGGGUGAAGGCUCCCCAAAGCGACGAUCCGUAACUGGUCUGAGAAGAUGAUCAUUCACCCUGGAACUGAUAAACCGUCCCCACUCCUCCUGGAGGCGGCAGUGGGGAAUAUUUGACAAUGGGGGAAAACCUGAUCCCCCCCUGCCGCGUGUGUGAAGAAGGUCUUCUGAUUGUUAAGCACUUUUUUUUGGGAGGAAGGGCGGUAAGUUAAUACCUUGCUGUUUUGACGUUACCGACAGAAUAACCACCGGCUAACUUCGUGCCAACAGCC
Molecule: ribosomal RNA, 466 nt
Filed under: uncultured bacterium
Lineage: Bacteria
Description: partial 16S ribosomal RNA
Rfam family: Bacterial small subunit ribosomal RNA
Source: RNAcentral